RNAcentral lists this ribosomal RNA (253 nucleotides) under uncultured bacterium. RNAcentral's name for it is "partial 16S ribosomal RNA". It matches the Rfam family "Bacterial small subunit ribosomal RNA", at positions 524 to 776 of the family's 1533-position model. The record is from RNAcentral.
UACAGAGGGUGCGAGCGUUGUCCGGAAUCACUGGGCGUAAAGGGCGCGUAGGUGGCUGGGUAAGCGUGCGGUGAAAGUUCGGGGCUCAACCCCGAAUCGGCCGUGCGGACUGCCUAGCUUGAGCAUAGUAGAGGCAGGUGGAAUUCCGGGUGUAGCGGUGGAAUGCGUAGAGAUCCGGAAGAACACCGGUGGCGAAGGCGGCCUGCUGGGCUAUUGCUGACACUGAGGCGCGACAGCGUGGGGAGCAAACAGG